CCCUUAGAUGUUCUGGGCUGCACGCGCGCUACACUGACGCACGCAACAGGUGCCUGCUCCGAGAGGACUGGGUAAUCAUUUGAGUGGGCGUCGUGAUGGGGAUAGAAUAUUGUAAUUAUUACUCUUCAACGAGGAAUUCCUAGUAAGCGCCAGUCAGCAGCUUGCGCUGAUUACGUCCCUGCCCUUUGUACACACCGCCCGUCGCUCCUACCGAUGGGUGAUCCGGUGAAUGAUUCGGACUUCAGCGGCUCCCCUGGGGUGCGCCGGAGAAAGUUUUGUGAACCUUAUCACUUGGAGGAAGGAGAAGUCGUAACA
RNAcentral lists this ribosomal RNA (315 nucleotides) under uncultured eukaryote. RNAcentral describes it as "partial 18S ribosomal RNA". It matches the Rfam family "Eukaryotic small subunit ribosomal RNA", at positions 1470 to 1796 of the family's 1831-position model. The record is from RNAcentral.